AUACGUAGGGGGCGAGCGUUGUCCGGAAUGAUUGGGCGUAAAGGGCGCGUAGGCGGCCCGGUAAGUCUGGAGUGAAAGUCCUGUUUUUAAGAUGGGAAUUGCUUUGGAUACUGUCGGGCUUGAGUGCAGGAGAGGUAAGUGGAAUUCCCAGUGUAGCGGUGAAAUGCGUAGAGAUUGGGAGGAACACCAGUGGCGAAGGCGACUUACUGGACGGUAACUGACGCUGAGGCGCGAAAGUGUGGGGAGCAAACAGGAUUAGAUACCCUGGUAGUCCACACUGUAAACGAUGAAUGCUAGGUGUAGGGGGUAUCGACCCCUUCUGUGCCGCAGUCAACACAAUAAGCAUUCCGCCUGGGGAGUACGGCCGCAAGGUUGAAACUCAAAUGAAUUGACGGGG
This 397-nucleotide ribosomal RNA is filed under the name uncultured bacterium. RNAcentral's name for it is "partial 16S ribosomal RNA". It matches the Rfam family "Bacterial small subunit ribosomal RNA", at positions 523 to 918 of the family's 1533-position model. The record is from RNAcentral.